GUGGAAGAUUAAGGGAAGGCUUCUUUGAGUGAUUGCCCUUCGCGGGUCAUUAUUUGCGCACUUUCUUCAGAAUGUCUUUUAGUGCUCCACGUGGCCCAAGAUGACUGCUUGAACUCCAGCUACUUUGUCUGAGUUCAGCCAGCAGGAAAGGAAGAGGAAGUUGUCCAAAGAAGGCGUGAGAUGUGGAGCAGAGCUGUGCCAGCAGACCUGGAAGCCUGCAGCGAGAAGUGGAGCAGACCCUUCUGUGCAGCCCGGAGCUUCCAGCCCCACCCAGCCACAGUCCACUGAUCCCCACAGCACCCACAGAUGUGUGAUCUUUAUCGUAAGCCGCUGAGUUUU
Molecule: long non-coding RNA, 339 nt
Organism: Manis javanica (Malayan pangolin)
Lineage: Eukaryota; Metazoa; Chordata; Mammalia; Pholidota; Manidae
Source: RefSeq, a predicted model, not a curated record